RNAcentral lists this small RNA (268 nucleotides) under Arabidopsis thaliana (thale cress). Its description in RNAcentral is "ATSL124040". Lineage: Eukaryota; Viridiplantae; Streptophyta; Magnoliopsida; Brassicales; Brassicaceae. The record is from RNAcentral.
AAAAGACAAACAAAUUAGCAUAACAUUAACUUAGAAAAAAAUGUUAUAUGACAUAGACAAAAUAUGCACACAGCGAACCAAAAUUUAGAAGAAGAAUUAUCGUAUUUCUAUUGAUGUUAUAAGGAGUCGCCUUCUGCAUCUUCUUUUCCUAACAUGAUACUCUCGUUCCUCGUCUUCUUCACAUGUUUAUUAUCCUAUCACUACUUAAUACAAACUAAUAAUUCUUUUUGUAUGGCUAAUGUAAAUGACUAACUAGAUUAAAUUACCA